RNAcentral lists this ribosomal RNA (468 nucleotides) under uncultured bacterium. RNAcentral's name for it is "partial 16S ribosomal RNA". It matches the Rfam family "Bacterial small subunit ribosomal RNA", at positions 28 to 507 of the family's 1533-position model. The record is from RNAcentral.
GAUGAACGCUGGCAGCGUGCUUAACACAUGCAAGUCGAACGGAGAGGCCCAAGCUUGCUUGGGUACUCGAGUGGCGAACGGGUGAGUAACACGUGGGUGAUCUGCCCUGCACUUCGGGAUAAGCCUGGGAAACUGGGUCUAAUACCGGAUAGGACGAUGGUUUGGAUGCCAUUGUGGAAAGUUUUUUCGGUGUGGGAUGAGCUCGCGGCCUAUCAGCUUGUUGGUGGGGUAAUGGCCUACCAAGGCGUCGACGGGUAGCCGGCCUGAGAGGGUGUACGGCCACAUUGGGACUGAGAUACGGCCCAGACUCCUACGGGAGGCAGCAGUGGGGAAUAUUGCACAAUGGGCGCAAGCCUGAUGCAGCGACGCCGCGUGGGGGAUGACGGCCUUCGGGUUGUAAACUCCUUUCGCUAGGGACGAAGCGUUUUUGUGACGGUACCUGGAGAAGAAGCACCGGCUAACUACGUG